AACGAACGCUGGCGGCAGGCUUAACACAUGCAAGUCGAGCGCCCCGCAAGGGGACCGGCGGCCGGGUGGGUAACGCGUGGGAACUUACCUUUUGGUUCGGAACAACUCCGGGAAACUGGGGCUAUUACCGGAUAAGCCCUAACGGGGAAAGAUUUAUCGCCGAAAGAUCGGCCCGCGUCUGAUUAGCUAGUUGGUGAGGUAACGGCUCACCAAGGCGACGAUCAGUAGCUGGUCUGAGAGGAUGAUCAGCCACACUGGGACUGAGACACGGCCCAGACUCCUACGGGAGGCAGCAGUGGGGAAUAUUGGACAAUGGGCGCAAGCCUGAUCCAGCCAUGCCGCGUGAGUGAUGAAGGCCUUAGGGUUGUAAAGCUCUUUUGUCCGGGAAGAUAAUGACUGUACCGGAAGAAUAAGCCCCGGCUAACUUCGUG
Molecule: ribosomal RNA, 431 nt
Filed under: uncultured bacterium
Lineage: Bacteria
Description: partial 16S ribosomal RNA
Rfam family: Bacterial small subunit ribosomal RNA
Source: RNAcentral